Molecule: ribosomal RNA, 508 nt
Filed under: uncultured bacterium
Lineage: Bacteria
Description: partial 16S ribosomal RNA
Rfam family: Bacterial small subunit ribosomal RNA
Source: RNAcentral
GAUGAACGCUAGCUACAGGCUUAACACACGCAAGUCGAGGGGCAGCAUGGUCUUAGCUUGCUAAGGCUGAUGGCGACCGGCGCACGGGUGAGUAACACGUAUCCAACCUGCCGUCUACUCUUGGCCAGCCUUCUGAAAGGAAGAUUAAUCCAGGAUGGGAUCAUGAGUUCACAUGUCCGCAUGAUUAAAGGUAUUUUCCGGUAGACGAUGGGGAUGCGUUCCAUUAGAUAGUAGGCGGGGUAACGGCCCACCUAGUCAACGAUGGAUAGGGGUUCUGAGAGGAAGGUCCCCCACAUUGGAACUGAGACACGGUCCAAACUCCUACGGGAGGCAGCAGUGAGGAAUAUUGGUCAAUGGGCGAUGGCCUGAACCAGCCAAGUAGCGUGAAGGAUGACUGCCCUAUGGGUUGUAAACUUCUUUUAUAAAGGAAUAAAGUCGGGUAUGCAUACCCGUUUGCAUGUACUUUAUGAAUAAGGAUCGGCUAACUCCGUGCCAGCCGCCGCAGUAA